UCUAUUUGACAAACAUGGAGCAGUUGUUGUCUGCUGCUAAGGUUUCCACUACAAAUGCAUGAAAAAGUAUCUUUGCACUUCCUGUCUAUCUGAGUGUGGCAGCCAAGAUGAAUGGGGGAAUACAGGA
Molecule: small nucleolar RNA, 127 nt
Filed under: Otolemur garnettii (small-eared galago)
Lineage: Eukaryota; Metazoa; Chordata; Mammalia; Primates; Galagidae
Description: Small nucleolar RNA SNORA31 (ENSOGAG00000023858.1)
Source: RNAcentral